RNAcentral lists this ribosomal RNA (253 nucleotides) under uncultured bacterium. RNAcentral's name for it is "partial 16S ribosomal RNA". It matches the Rfam family "Bacterial small subunit ribosomal RNA", at positions 524 to 776 of the family's 1533-position model. The record is from RNAcentral.
UACGUAGGGUGCAAGCGUUAAUCGGAAUUACUGGGCGUAAAGCGUGCGCAGGCGGCUUUGCAAGACAGAUGUGAAAUCCCCGGGCUUAACCUGGGAACUGCAUUGGUGACUGCACGGCUAGAGUGUGUCAGAGGGGGGUAGAAUUCCACGUGUAGCAGUGAAAUGCGUAGAGAUGUGGAGGAAUACCGAUGGCGAAGGCAGCCCCCUGGGAUAACACUGACGCUCAUGCACGAAAGCGUGGGGAGCAAACAGG